UACAUUUUAUGCGCUUUUUAUGUUAGUUACUCCUCUGUUUGUCGUGCCUUUCUAUGCUAAAAAUUGAUGUGAUAUAUGAGGAGUAUGCAAAGAAAUGCUGGAAGAAUAUCAAAUUUGAGACAAUGCAUUCGUUAUUUCUUCUUGAGGGAUAUGUAUAUUGAGCCACAAAAUGUGAUAAUCAGGGUGGGGAAAGGGGUUUAAGGGGGAAGGUAGUGAAGAAGACCUUAGAAUUACUCGAGUUUUAGGAGCAGUGGGAUGGUAGUGGCAAUCUUUGAAGUUUGGGGGCUGUUUUUCACAUAAAAACGUGUGAUUCGGGACUGUUUUCGGGCACCGUUGGGGUGUGAUUUGGGACUGUUUUUGGGCUGCCCCUCCGAGUCUAUACCUCACUCGGUUCAGUCAGAUUAUUCAGUAAGAUAUGGUUUGAUGUUUGAGGCCUCGCUUCACUAACGAAAGUCGGUUCCUUGUGAACUCCGUUAGCUAGGCGCAGGGUUGAAAGAUGGGGAAGAAAACCUAUAUAUAUCCUUGGAGCUGAUCCAAAUUCAAAAAAUUCCUGGGGGCGAUUGGGAUUCCAACGAGAGGGGAGGCUGGGAGAGGAAACUCACUUCAAGAGCGGAAAGCACAGGGAAGGCAGCACGCUUGGAGCUCUAUGAAACAAAAUUCAUCUCAUAAGACUUAGAAAUCGCCAUAUAAUUGGUUUUCGUCUGAUUUCAAAACCUUGUUUUCUUCAAUUCUUGAUCUCAGUAGAAGGUCACCCCUGAGUUACGGCCCAACAUCAUUAAGCGGCAUCACUGAACUUGCCGAACUUAGACCUGGGAGAUUGCUUAAGCCUAAAGAUAGCUUUGCGAAGAUGACACACCUGAGAACUCUCCUCCUGAGCAACAAACCCAGUUGGCACCAUGCAAACUUAUGGAGAUCAACACGCGAGAAAGCAUCCUUAACAUCUAAUUGAAACAAGAGCCAACCAAGACUGACAGUGAAAGAAAUAAGAAGCAGAAAAGAGCCAUGAUUCUCCGCAUAAUCAUAUCUAUAAGUGUGGGUGUAACCUUUGGCAACAAGGCGAGCUUUGUAGCACUCAAAAAAUCUAUCAUGAUGGUACUUCAAAGUGAAACGGUGGUUUUUCCAGAAGGAAGCGGAACCAACUCCUAAGUACCAUAGUGGUGAACAGCAAACAUCUUAUCCUCUGCAGCUAUCUUCUGACAAUAUUAGGGAGGGAGAGAGAGGAGGCAAUGACUAGAAUACCUGUACUUACUAACACUAUAUCUUCUGACAAUAUUAAAUCCUUCCCUACAGUCAUUGUCAUUCAGUUUUGUGCGUUGUACCCAUUAAGGUAGGCAAAACCAUGUUUGCAUACCCCUUCUCACAUGAAUAUCACAAGUUACUAUAUAUCAUUUUAGUGGACGAAAAUAGCCUAGAUGUUGUUUUAGUGGAGAAGAUGAGGUUGUGAACAAAAAUAGACUAGAGAUUGUUUUAGCAGACAAAUACUAGUGAAUUCACGAAGGAAAGUAAGAGAGCACUGCAGUGAUGUAUGUGGUUGUUGACUUUUACUUUAUGCUACUAGACAGUCUUGCACGCAAUUUAGGCGCAUUACGACAACUUUCAUAAGUUAUGAAAAAAUAAGGAUGCAUAAUUGCAUAUUAUUUCAAUGGAUCCUCUUUUUUUAUUUUUAAAUGGAAGGUGCGUUAGAUUAAACAUCAAUGGUACUUAGGUCCCUCCAAGAUAUGGCGCGUCUGGUGCGCAUCUGUAUUCUUCUAUUCCACCACAAACACAGGUCUACGACGCGUUGUAUCCAAAUAAAGGUCCCUUCCACUUCACCAGCUAGUCUAUAGCUACAAAAAUCUCUCCCCAAAGAUGUUCAUUGCCAAGAAAGGGUCUUUCAAGGUCGAACUUCAGUCUCUCCAAUUGGUUGGACUUUCUGUACUGCACUGUAGAACAAAACAGUGAAUAGACUUAUCACUAAGUGGAUAAAUCUAUUAACUGGUACUACAAAACAUGAGCCAUACCUUUGCUUCUCCCAACAUUACUGUGAAGAUGAAGUGGGUAGAUGGGCACGCUACCCCUUUCUAAAGUAACCUAGCGCGAGGAUAACUUUUCAUGCGUAAAAGUGUAAGGGUUGUUGAUUGCUGCGUUCAAUUGAAAAGCAUGGGAUGGACAAUGGAAGUGUAACUUGGCUUGCUGCUAUUCCCUAGGCUUUGGCAAUGGUAGCAGAAGAGAAGACAGAGGCUGCCGCCUUUGUAGGAUGAGAAGGAGCACAGUCUCAGACGAAGAUCCAUUGCGCCCUGAGCGGAGCCAUAGAUAGCAGCAUAGAGUCUCUCCAGAAAGAGGUGUGGGAAAAAGUUGGAGAGUUUCAAGACAAUGUAAAAUGAAAGCAGUAAAAUGUGAAAAUGAGGAGGAAGGGACAUCUUAUGUAGUAUUCAAAGCACAAUGAGAUAACGGGCCAUCAUGAUGCUUUAUGUGGUGCAGACAAUCAUUGAGGGAGGAAAUUAUGAAUGCUUGAAGGGACAGGUUAGCAGAAAAGGUCUGCCAAAAGAUUUCGAAACCACAAAAUGCUCCGAAUUUGUUGCUACUUUUAUAAAUGCGCAUGAGGGGGGCAUAUAUUAGGUUCAUCCUUGUUGCUUUCAAAAUCUAAUGGUCUCCCGCAGAAAUAGAUCAAGAUUGAAGAUGCACCAGAGUCGAUCACUUUUUCUUUUUUAGACAUGCCACGUAGUGCUUCAUUGAGGAUCCCAGUAUUAUUCUAAUACUUAAUCAGAUAUAACAGAAGAAUAAGAUGA
Molecule: long non-coding RNA, 2768 nt
Organism: Rhododendron vialii
Lineage: Eukaryota; Viridiplantae; Streptophyta; Magnoliopsida; Ericales; Ericaceae
Exons: 2
Source: RefSeq, a predicted model, not a curated record